This 1049-nucleotide ribosomal RNA is filed under the name Aspergillus sojae. Its description in RNAcentral is "SSU rRNA". It matches the Rfam family "Eukaryotic small subunit ribosomal RNA", at positions 60 to 1118 of the family's 1831-position model. Lineage: Eukaryota; Fungi; Ascomycota; Eurotiomycetes; Eurotiales; Aspergillaceae. The record is from RNAcentral.
UAAGUAUAAGCACUUUAUACUGUGAAACUGCGAAUGGCUCAUUAAAUCAGUUAUCGUUUAUUUGAUAGUACCUUACUACAUGGAUACCUGUGGUAAUUCUAGAGCUAAUACAUGCUGAAAACCUCGACUUCGGAAGGGGUGUAUUUAUUAGAUAAAAAACCAAUGCCCUUCGGGGCUCCUUGGUGAAUCAUAAUAACUUAACGAAUCGCAUGGCCUUGCGCCGGCGAUGGUUCAUUCAAAUUUCUGCCCUAUCAACUUUCGAUGGUAGGAUAGUGGCCUACCAUGGUGGCAACGGGUAACGGGGAAUUAGGGUUCGAUUCCGGAGAGGGAGCCUGAGAAACGGCUACCACAUCCAAGGAAGGCAGCAGGCGCGCAAAUUACCCAAUCCCGACACGGGGAGGUAGUGACAAUAAAUACUGAUACGGGGCUCUUUUGGGUCUCGUAAUUGGAAUGAGUACAAUCUAAAUCCCUUAACGAGGAACAAUUGGAGGGCAAGUCUGGUGCCAGCAGCCGCGGUAAUUCCAGCUCCAAUAGCGUAUAUUAAAGUUGUUGCAGUUAAAAAGCUCGUAGUUGAACCUUGGGUCUGGCUGGCCGGUCCGCCUCACCGCGAGUACUGGUCCGGCUGGACCUUUCCUUCUGGGGAAUCUCAUGGCCUUCACUGGCUGUGGGGGGAACCAGGACUUUUACUGUGAAAAAAUUAGAGUGUUCAAAGCAGGCCUUUGCUCGAAUACAUUAGCAUGGAAUAAUAGAAUAGGACGUGCGGUUCUAUUUUGUUGGUUUCUAGGACCGCCGUAAUGAUUAAUAGGGAUAGUCGGGGGCGUCAGUAUUCAGCUGUCAGAGGUGAAAUUCUUGGAUUUGCUGAAGACUAACUACUGCGAAAGCAUUCGCCAAGGAUGUUUUCAUUAAUCAGGGAACGAAAGUUAGGGGAUCGAAGACGAUCAGAUACCGUCGUAGUCUUAACCAUAAACUAUGCCGACUAGGGAUCGGACGGUGUUUCUAUUAUGACCCGUUCGGCACCUUACGAGAAAUCAAAGUUUUUGGGUUCUGGG